This 253-nucleotide ribosomal RNA is filed under the name uncultured bacterium. RNAcentral's name for it is "partial 16S ribosomal RNA". It matches the Rfam family "Bacterial small subunit ribosomal RNA", at positions 524 to 776 of the family's 1533-position model. The record is from RNAcentral.
UACAGAGGGUGCAAGCGUUGUUCGGAAUCAUUGGGCGUAAAGGGCGUGUAGGCGGUCUGUUAAGUCAUGUGUGAAAUCCCUCGGCUUAACCGGGGAACGACGCAUGAAACUGACAAGCUAGAGUCCGGAAGAGGAGAGUGGAAUUCCCGGUGUAGCGGUGAAAUGCGCAGAUAUCGGGAAGAACACCCGUGGCGAAGGCGGCUCUCUGGGACGGUACUGACGCUGAGACGCGAAAGCGUGGGGAGCGAACAGG